UCCCCGCCUCAUCCCAGCCCCCUGGUUGACAGUCGCCUCAGAGAAGCCCUGGAACAGGCUGAAGACACAUCUAACAAAAAGGACACAGCACAGACAGACGCACACCACCACGGGACAUAACCCGACGACAGCAGACAAAGAGAGGCCGUACUCGGUCUUUGCUGGUGCAGGCGAAACAGAGCUGUCUGCAGUGGAAGGGGCAAGCUCAGGGGCUUGUCCACUGGCCCCAGCGGUGGGAGCAGGAGAGCCCAGGGCUGCAAAAACAUCCUUUGCAAGGUCAAUAUCUGGGGUCUUGAAGUUCCCUUCGUCCAUUUUAAAGUCCUCGCCCUGGGCAGGGUUUGUGGCGCUGACGGAGGCAGCCUCGCUCUUCGGGCUAGUGAGGCCCGUGGCUGCUGCCUCGGUCGGGCUCUUCACGGCGCCGGGCUGGGUGGGCUCGGGGUCCGGGCCUUUGGUGCUGGGGGCCUCCUGCUUGGCCUGCGGGGCUGCCGUGGCAGGGGCGGCCGCUGCCGCUAGGGGACUGGUUGCCCCGGCCGCGGUGGGGCUCGGCUUGCUCGCGGGAGGGGCCUUGGAGGCCUCCCCCGAGCUGGCAGGGGCGCUGGGGCUGAGCACAGCCCCCUGGUGAGCCAGGACACUAGAAGACAAACUGCCAGCAGCAGGGGCUGAGGCCGGGGUGUCGCUCAGGUCAACGAGGGGGGCAACCUUGGGGGCCGAAGCUGGGGGAGGGGAGGAGGCGGUGGCGCCGGGCCCCUUGGAAGGGGUGGCCUGGCCAGUGGGCACAGAGUUUGAGUCAGGCGUGGCCGUGGCCGGGGGGGCAAUACUGGAGGUCAGGGUGGUGGUCUCACUGGUGGGGCUGUUCUGAGCAGUGGCAAAGGUUUCGGUGAUAGUGUCAGAGUUAGCGGUGACGGUGGUGACAGAAGGCAGCAUGUCCUCGACAGUGGCUGUGGUGUCGGCCGGCAGCCUGUGGGGAGGACAGGAAGUAGAAGAGAAUAGACAAUGAAGCUGGGACGAGACAGAGAAGCGGGCUUGGGGAAGGGGGGCCGCAGCCAAGGAGGGGGUCGUGGGCAGGGCAUGCAGUGACGCACAGGCACGGACACAGGCCCACAGAGAAACGAGGACAGCAAGAGGAAGCACACGCCCAGGCGGGCAGAAGAGGAGACAGGAGACACAGACCUGCUGGCCCUUCCUCCCUGCUGAUGCCCCUCCAGCUCUCUACGCUGCGCUGCCUCUCCCUGCAGCCCUGUCUGACCCCUGCCUGCACCCCAACUCCAGGAGAGGCGACCCUCAGUUCGCCGUCCGCCACUGCUGGCGUCAAGGACCCCGAGGAAUGGGCCCUGCUGUCCUAGGGGCUCCACGGGAACUGAUGGGGAAGGUCGGGAAUAUGGCAGACAAAGAGUGCUCCCAAGGCCCCUAGCAGUCGCGGGUUGUCCAGCCAGAGAUUUAAACUAAAUCCGCGCUCAACUCCACUCCCUUCAAAGCCCCAGCACUCACGACAGCCAGCCUUCGUGACCGCCUCGGCCAGACGCGGUUUCUGACUGAGGGUCCCCCAGCCUUCUGAGAACAGAAGGGUCAGGGAGCUCCACGCGCCCCACCUCCUCUCACCCUUCCAGGAAGAGCGCAGAAAACCCUAGAGCUCUUGAAAAUCCUACACAGAAUCUGCUGAGCCUCUCAAAGCUCAGAGCCUCUCUCAGUGCGGUUGUGUCCCCUUCGGCCACUUCCAGAAUGUGCGUGUGACUCGGGCAUAGGGUCUAGAGAUCCCACUCACCCCUGGAACCCUUUCAGAGCAUCUGCAGGCUCUUCACAGAACCAGGAAUGCCUUCUCUCUAGGGAGAGAGUGGGCUCAGGCAUUUCUGGCCAAGGGCUCCAGAAUCUGGGCCGCAUUGUUGGGCUGGGAGUGGUGGGUGGGAGGUAUGGGAGGCGAGGCAUGGGUGAGGCGAUGAGGUGAGUGUGGGGCUCUGCGGCCAAAGUGCCGCCCCUCCCCACCCACGUACUCGGGCUCCGUCAGCGGGGUGGUCUCGUUGGGCUCCGUGUGUUUCCCUCCAUCGUGGUUUGGGGUCCGCUCCUCCUCGGUCCGCACUUCCACAAUGGGUUCCUUGGACUCAUCUUUCCUGUGGAGAGAGUUUUGCUGGUUCGAUCCCGGCCUGCUGGGGCAGGAAGGGGGCUCCCGGGGAAGCCGGCUACAGCUCAGGGCUCCUGGGUUUGGCCCAAAGUUGAUGUGGGGGCGUGGGCAUCUCAAGCCCAAGGGCCCGAGCCUCAGCUCCCACUCGUGCUAGCUGUGUGACCGUGAACAUUGGAUUCGCUCGCUUUGGCUUCUGUCCCCUCAUCUGUAAAAUGGGGCAGGCAACAGUCUCGACCUUGCCUGGCUGUUGGAAACAUUAACUGAGACAAUGAAUGUCAAGUGCUUAGCACAGUGCCUGGCACAGAGAAGUGCUCAGAUAAUCUGUAUUUACAUACAGUGCCUGCCCUGUGGUGGCACUCACAGCUUACUCCCUGCUCUGCCUCUCAUCACCUCACUCCAGCUCAGGUCCGCCCAGCGAGUCUGUGAAGCCUCUUGCUCAUUGGCUCAGGACCCGUUUUUCCAGAGAUGCUGGAGGGGACAGCAUCUGGAUGGUCAGCUCCAAAGGGACAGGAAGUUUUACCUGUUCUGUUCGCAGGUGUAACCUAGUGUCUGGGAACAGAGCCUGGCCCUGUUUUAGCUGCUCAGUAACUAUCUGUUGAGUGAUAUAUGAAUGGCUGAAUGAAUGAAGACAUGAACGAAUGGCAGCGAGGCAAGUGUGUGUCUCCAAUGCUACGGCAGAUCCCCUCCAAGUUUAUUUAGCUCUGAAAAUUCCCCUCAGUUUGGCCUAUGCAGGGAUUUUCAACCUUCUCUGAAAUUCUAAUACGUUACAUGUGGGGUUGGGCCCAAGUGUUAGCUUUUCAAACAGGAAUCCCGAAAGACUGUGUUUUAGGAAACAUUUCUCCAAUGCUUUUUUUCCACCUUUGGGGUUUCCAAAUGGGGAAACUGAGAUGGUUCUGAUGCUAAGCCCCCCGGCCCAGGGCAGAGCCUAGACCCUAGCAGUGGCAAUUAGGUCUGCACUCACGAGAAGGCGGCUUUGCCCUCCUCCAUGUCCUUGCCCUUGGCUCCGGGCCCAGCCUUUCCGCACAGGUUGACGGCAAUGCACAUGAGCAGCCCACACUUGUUCAGGAAGUAGCAGGUGAUGUCCACCACCACCAGUAGCAGGACAAAGAUGACGAUGAGGAUGCCCACAAUGGCCCCAGUGCUCAGGCCUGAUGUAGGGCUGCCGUUGGCUUGAGUGGGAGGGAGGGAGGGAGAGAGAGAGAGAGAGAGAUGGCUGGUGGUUAAUACACUGACGUGCAGACUGCUGGACCCUGCAGAGCAACAGCCCUUGGGGGUGGGGUAGCACCUAUAGGACAAAGUCGUGGCAUUUGUGUCAAGAGUGGCACCUUCCGUGGGGCCUUUCUACACCCUGGUGCGGAGACAACAGAGUCUCUCUGUAUCUUCAAGAGGGCGGGAUGGCAGCCUUACCUCACAGACCAGGGGGUAGGGGCAUGAGGCUCCCACAAGUCGGGAGGAGUGGGCACC
RNAcentral lists this long non-coding RNA (3580 nucleotides) under Lynx pardinus (Iberian lynx). The record is from RNAcentral. Lineage: Eukaryota; Metazoa; Chordata; Mammalia; Carnivora; Felidae.